Long non-coding RNA from Xenopus tropicalis (tropical clawed frog), 518 nucleotides. RefSeq lists it as uncharacterized. The record is from RefSeq and is a predicted model, not a curated record. Lineage: Eukaryota; Metazoa; Chordata; Amphibia; Anura; Pipidae. The transcript is spliced from 2 exons.
GUGCCGUUACGUCAGGUGGCGGGUUUUUCUGUCACAAGUUGCUUCUGGCGAGAGGGAAACGUCUGCUCUGAUGGAAAUGGCAUGGAAAUGUUUUCUUAUCAUGGGCACAUAGCAGCAUAGAAAUAAACACGCAAAACCAUCAAAUUUAACUUCAGGUUAAGGUUGGAUCACCGGACGGAGAUAGCGAACUGGACCUGUCAGCCAUCGGUGGAGGUUCAUGGCAUCUCACAGGAGCGCUACAGAUUAGCUCGGCAGAAUAGAAAUUGGGAAUUGGGUAUGUGUUGGGGGCUGUUCCUGCUGACCUUUCCAUCUCUGAAUCCGCUGAUCCGGAACCGUCUGAUACGGAUCUCAAGUUCCCGAAUCCCCUGUUCCUGAGGUUCCUACUGGACCGCGCUGAGCUCGACUGUUUGAGUUCCUCAGAAUGCUGAUUCUGCAGAAAGUUGUACCACAAAUCUUUGUUGAUAUUGGAAUAUUGUAUUUCAUUAAUCUCAUAAAUAAACAUGAAGAGUUUCCAUUUC